This 497-nucleotide ribosomal RNA is filed under the name uncultured bacterium. RNAcentral's name for it is "partial 16S ribosomal RNA". It matches the Rfam family "Bacterial small subunit ribosomal RNA", at positions 28 to 507 of the family's 1533-position model. The record is from RNAcentral.
GAUGAGCGCUGGCGGCGUGCCUAAUACAUGCAAGUCGAGCGAACGGACGAGAAGCUUGCCUCUCUGAUGUUAGCGGCGGACGGGUGAGUAACACGUGGAUAACCUACCUAUAAGACUGGGAUAACUUCGGGAAACCGGAGCUAAUACCGGAUAAUAUUUUGAACCGCAUGGUUCAAAAGUGAAAGACGGUCUUGCUGUCACUUAUAGAUGGAUCCGCGCUGCAUUAGCUAGUUGGUAAGGUAACGGCUUACCAAGGCAACGAUGCAUAGCCGACCUGAGAGGGUGAUCGGCCACACUGGAACUGAGACACGGUCCAGACUCCUACGGGAGGCAGCAGUAGGGAAUCUUCCGCAAUGGGCGAAAGCCUGACGGAGCAACGCCGCGUGAGUGAUGAAGGUCUUCGGAUCGUAAAACUCUGUUAUUAGGGAAGAACAUAUGUGUAAGUAACUGUGCACAUCUUGACGGUACCUAAUCAGAAAGCCACGGCUAACUACGUG